GCGCGCGUUUCGUGUGUGAAGAAGAAUACGGGCGGAGGGGUCAAGCUGCAAAGCAGUAACCCAUAAAAACCACAUCCUGGGCAGCAACCCCCCUCGAAAGAAGCGAGGCUUGCAUCCCGUAAAUACGCCAGUUUCCCUGAAUCCCGAAUUAAAUCCGUUUUAGGCCAGGCUGCAAAGGUAAUCCUUAAUUUGCAAAGGUUACGUUCGCAGUCUGGUCUGCCACGCUGGGGCCACCGGUUCUGCCUUCAAUUCCCGCUUCGGGCGUGGGCGGCGUGUACACCAGCCCUCCGCCUCCCCCCAGCCACGUCUGCCUUCCUCCACUUUGCUUUUCUGCGCUCUCGUUUCCCACCGCCGCCUCGUCGGGGAAACAGCCCAGGCGCGCCGCUUUGCAGAAAGAGAAGCGCCUUAGCAAAAAGGCUCCGCCGCCCGGAACUGGAUGGUGAUUGCGGCGCUGGAUGCUCACCAGCUCCCCGCAGGAGCCGUUCCCCUGCUCUCCCGCCUCGGGCUGGGCGGCGGCGGCGCUCGAAUAGCCGGGCGCGAACAAGACGCGCGGCGAAGCUUAGCUGGGAGGUGGCGCGAGCUGCCGCUGCUGGGAAUCCCGUUUCCUCUUUGGCCUAGUGAGCGCAGGCGGCGGCGGCGGCGGCAGCAGCCUUGCUUAACGCAAGAGGGGACGGCGUCUCGCUGCCCUUUGGCGAGGUCCUGGGCCCUAGAUGGAAACUUCACUGCAGAACUGGAAGACAAGAGAAUAUUUUUCUCCAUGUUGCUGAGUAAAGUGCACAACAUUGCUGCAGGAGGACGUCACCAGUAGGGCUUUGUAAGCCACUGUACCUUAACGAUCAAUUACUUCCUCUUUCUGUUCCAUUGUUACUGCUACGAUUGCAGUCUUAGGCUCACAUAACUUUGGAGUAAGUGCUAUUGUACCCUAUAGGUAUUAUUUCUGAGUAAAUGUACAUAGUUCACAUUAUAUGACAGUCAAAGCUGCCCCCUCGCUGUACCUUUGUUCCACAUUUCAGAGUAUAUGGGACUGUCGGUCCCUGUUUUACCGCUGUGGUUUGUUUGCUUAUUUAUUGUCCUUUUUCGUUCAUUUUAUGCACUUUGAACAUUGUAGUUGCUGAGAGGAGCACCACCAUGUGGAAGAGAAUUUUUGUGGUUGAAAUGUUAAUUUUGAGCAUUCACUAGAGUGCAGAGACAGAUAAGGUUAGUUUAUUUCACUGUAAAUGAAGAUGUCCCUUAAAGUGAAACUCUGCAGAGUAAAAGCAAAUUGUAGGGCAAGUUUUAGUCAAUAUUUGUAUGGGCAACAUAGCCAUAAAUAGAAGAAUUCCCUGGCAUCUGUUAUCCUUCCAUACCUUUUGCUUUAUGUCCAGUGACACUUAAAAGAUUGCAGAUACAUAUAUCAUCAUGGGCUUGCUAUGAAGGUUUCGGCCCAUGGCUGCCAUAUUCUGGAUCCCUAAUACAGUGCUUGAGAGUAAUAGUGAGCCCAUGACAUAUUCCUGAAUGAUUCUUUUUAUUUAAAAAAAAAAAAUGGAAAGCCAACCUGUUGCAGGGCAAAACGUCAACCCCACAAAACGUCAACCCCAUUCUGCUUUCAGUGAUCCUGUGGGACUCAGAGGCAUUCUUAGAAAAUCAAAUGGCCAAUGACUAGAGCUAAGCACUUUGUUUCUCUUUUGGUAAAGGGGUGCUUUAUCAUGGGCUGAAUGCCCAUCAUGGAACUUUUUCUGGGAAUGUCCUUGAACAUGCUCUCAAACUUCCAGGUCUGCCCACUGACUCAAAAAGAUUGGGGUCCUUUGCUCUCCAUCAUACUUUUAAGGAAGAGUUAGGUAACCUGUUUUGGAUUGUAGACACUCAGUUGUAGGUGGUGUGCAAAGUAGGUUGAGCCAAAGGGAAAUGGGCAAAGCUAGAAGAGGAAGGAAGGUGAGGGUACAGCAAAUAAGAUGAGGGUUUAAGUAUUUAAUAAGUUAAAUAUAUGAAUAAAAGCAGUGGCCAGCCCAGGGGCUCCAGAAGAUAGAUAGGAGAGUGUUACAUAUGAUAACCUAUUCAUAUAUAUUCUUGUCAGUAUCAGCCAAUAUUUUUUCUUCAAAUUGAAGUUACUUCAGCCUUUAUUUGUUUUCCUCGACUCACUUUGUCCACAAAUGAGGUGUUUGAACAGAAUGUCAAGUUUAAACAGCUAAGUGAUCAACUGCAAAAUACUUCUGACGUUUAAUUUUACGUGUUUUCCAUAACCAGGAAACACCUACCAGUGUAUGCAUUUUUCAUUUGUCCAUUUAUCUUUUUCUAACCCAGAUCUAAAAUCUUAAUUCUUUUAUAUAGUUGGACUAUAUAAUCUAAUCUGUAUGGGAUUAGAUGAAAAUUAGAUGUAUAUUGCCUUUUGCAUAGUGUUAUGUUCUCUGGAUGAAAUUUUUCUUUUUCUCUUGCACACUUUUUCUCACGCAUACCUUCAUCCUUGAUGCUGUAAGAGGAGAGACAGGUUAGUCUAUGGUAGCUAAAACUCAGAAGUCUGGUAGCACUUUUUCAAAUGCCAUUAAAAGGCAUCAGAUUUCAUGAGGUAUUUUUUUACUGUCAUUCUUGGUAUUCCCUGUGUGUCCCAUCACAAUGCAAAUCUGAGACUGUGCCAUAGAAUUGUUACUACAUUAAACAAUUAGACCCAUCUUUUCAAGAGCCGGGGACAGCAGCCUUCAGACCCUGAAUGCCUUCCUGAGCUGGCAUAGUGCAAACGGUCCCAAGAUCUACUGCAUAAAAAGUAUUCUGUUCCCCCCUCCCCACGAUGGUUUCACACCAUUUUAAUUGAAUAACAUAUUGCUGGGCUACAUUUAUAAACUAGAUUUAAAAAUUGCUGAUAGUAUUGUUUUUGUAUUGAAAUGCAAGGUAUACUCUCUUGUUAUGUAUAGCUGUUACUAUUGUUAAGCUUUCUGUUAUGUAAACCAACUGAGUAGGCUUCACUUCAAAAGUUUGACAAUGGUUUAAAUAAAUAAAUAUGAUCAAGGCUA
Molecule: long non-coding RNA, 2984 nt
Organism: Python bivittatus (Burmese python)
Lineage: Eukaryota; Metazoa; Chordata; Lepidosauria; Squamata; Pythonidae
Source: RefSeq, a predicted model, not a curated record